GACGUAGGGCGCGAGCGUUGUCCGGAUUUAUUGGGCGUAAAGAGCUCGUAGGCGGCUUGUUGCGUCGACUGUGAAAACCCGCGGCUUAACCGCGGGCUUGCAGUUGAUACGGGCAGGCUAGAGUUCGGUAGGGGAGACUGGAAUUCCUGGUGUAGCGGUGAAAUGCGCAGAUAUCAGGAGGAACACCGAUGGCGAAGGCAGGUCUCUGGGCAUUAACUGACGCUGAGGAGCGAAAGCAUGGGGAGCGAACAGG
Molecule: ribosomal RNA, 253 nt
Filed under: uncultured bacterium
Lineage: Bacteria
Description: partial 16S ribosomal RNA
Rfam family: Bacterial small subunit ribosomal RNA
Source: RNAcentral